ACUUUCAAGAGUUAAGUCGAGAUCUGGAUGAAAAAUCCUAAUAACUGGUAAAGAAGGGAAGCCGCAGACAAAAAUAUUGAAUGUUGUCUACAAACAAGUUUUUCAGAAUAUUUCGUAGUCACGGUACGUAAUUUUAAUCUACUUUUUUUUCAAAUACAAAUUUUAAAAUAAAUAAACUGUUGCAAUUAUUUAUUUUUUAUAUUUGCUAGAUGGGUUGUGAUGAGUUAGGAGACCGAUGACGGUAUGUCAAUUUAAU
This 256-nucleotide long non-coding RNA is filed under the name Brassica rapa (field mustard). RNAcentral describes it as "long non-coding RNA (BRAP_LNC000166)". Lineage: Eukaryota; Viridiplantae; Streptophyta; Magnoliopsida; Brassicales; Brassicaceae. The record is from RNAcentral.